AUUAAACGCUGGCGGCAUGCCUUACACAUGCAAGUCGAACGGCAGCACGGGGGCAACCCUGGUGGCGAGUAGCGGACGGGUGAGUAAUACAUCGGAACGUGCCCUGGAGUGGGGGAUAACGUAGCGAAAGUUACGCUAAUACCGCAUAUUCUGUGAGCAGGAAAGCAGGGGAUCGCAAGACCUUGCGCUCUGGGAGCGGCCGAUGUCGGAUUAGCUAGUUGGUGAGGUAAAGGCUCACCAAGGCGACGAUCUGUAGCGGGUCUGAGAGGAUGAUCCGCCACACUGGAACUGAGACACGGUCCAGACUCCUACGGGAGGCAGCAGUGGGGAAUUUUGGACAAUGGGCGCAAGCCUGAUCCAGCCAUGCCGCGUGAGUGAAGAAGG
This 384-nucleotide ribosomal RNA is filed under the name uncultured bacterium. RNAcentral's name for it is "bacterial SSU rRNA". It matches the Rfam family "Bacterial small subunit ribosomal RNA", at positions 30 to 414 of the family's 1533-position model. The record is from RNAcentral.